GCCAGACUCCUACGGGAGGCAGCAGUGAGGAAUAUUGGUCAAUGGGCGCGAGCCUGAACCAGCCAAGUCGCGUGAGGGAUGACGGCCCUACGGGUUGUAAACCUCUUUUGUCGGGGAGCAAAUUCCGUUACGUGUAACGGAGUCGAGAGUACCCGGAGAAAAAGCAUCGGCUAACUCCGUGCCAGCAGCCGCGGUAAUACGGAGGAUGCGAGCGUUAUCCGGAUUUAUUGGGUUUAAAGGGUGCGUAGGCGGGCUGUUAAGUCGGCGGUCAAAUGUCGGGGCUCACCCCCGGCCUGCCGUUGAAACUGGCGGCCUCGAGUGGGCGAGAAGUAUGCGGAAUGCGUGGUGUAGCGGUGAAAUGCAUAGAUAUCGCGCAGAACUCCGAUUGCGAAGGCAGCAUGCCGGCUCCACACUGACGCUGAGGCACGAAAGCGUGGGUAUCGAACAGGAUUAGAUACCCGUGUACAC
Molecule: ribosomal RNA, 468 nt
Filed under: uncultured bacterium
Lineage: Bacteria
Description: bacterial SSU rRNA
Rfam family: Bacterial small subunit ribosomal RNA
Source: RNAcentral